Bos taurus (domestic cattle) is the source of this 73-nucleotide non-coding RNA. NCBI's taxonomy places the organism in Eukaryota, Metazoa, Chordata, Mammalia, Artiodactyla, Bovidae. The record is from Rfam.
UCCCUGGAGGUCCAGUGGUUAAGACUCUGAGCUUCCAAUGCAGAGAGUGCAGGUUCAAUCCCUAGUCAGGGAA